CGCGUAGGCGGUUAAAUAAGUCAGAUGUGAAAGCCUUGGGCUUAACCUGAGAACAGCAUUUGAUACUGUUUGACUAGAGGACGAGAGAGGAAAGUGGAAUUACGAGUGUAGAGGUGAAAUUCGUAGAUAUUCAUAAGAACACCAGUGGCGAAGGCGACUUUCUGGCUCGUAUCUGACGCUAAGGCGCGAAAGCGUGGGAGCAAACA
This 206-nucleotide ribosomal RNA is filed under the name uncultured bacterium. RNAcentral describes it as "partial 16S ribosomal RNA". It matches the Rfam family "Bacterial small subunit ribosomal RNA", at positions 568 to 774 of the family's 1533-position model. The record is from RNAcentral.